Non-coding RNA from Peromyscus maniculatus bairdii (prairie deer mouse), 3955 nucleotides. NCBI's taxonomy places the organism in Eukaryota, Metazoa, Chordata, Mammalia, Rodentia, Cricetidae. The record is from RefSeq and is a predicted model, not a curated record.
CUCCCCUUCUGUUCAGGAAAGGGCCAGUUUCCCAUUGAUAUCAACAAAACAUGCCAUAUCAAAGUUGCAGUAAGACUAAGCACCUCCCCCCUCCCCCCAGUGUCUCAUUGCUCUUUAGGUGGCAAACUUGGGUUAGGUCCUUGUCCAGUCCCCAUGUCCUCUGCCAGGUGCCGGGUUUAUAGUGCCGCGCAGCUGUAUUUCAGUAUGUUUUUUCAGCAGCAGGUGUGCGCCUUUGGCCAGCAGUCGAGAAGUUAGGUGCUUACUCUCUGUAAGACCGGGGCCACGUGACUUCAUCGGGGCGGCUCUGGUUCUCUGUCCCACCUCUGUCUGCUUCUGUAGAGGAUUGAUGAGGUCAUUCCAGAGGCUGGGGUUCUGCAGGUCUGGGUUGGGGCCUUGACCGUGUCUGGAAUUGUGGGUAGCCCAGGCGGGCAUGUAAAUUAGAGUCCUGUGUCAGCAUUCUGAGUGCUUAGAUGAGAGCCAUCUACCACUACCACUUGUUUGAAAGCUGGAUCCAGAUGAAAAUAAAUGGAACUGUUUAUUCUAGAAUGCUUGCUAGACUGGUUGAGAGUUAUUUUUUUUUUUUAUAAUGUAUUUGAUGUGCAUUGCUGUUUUUGUCUGCAUGUAUGUCUGUGUGAGGGUGUCAGAUCUUGGAGUUACAGACAGUUGUUAGCUUCCAUGUGGGUGCUGGGAAUUGAACCCGGGUCCUCUGGAAGAGCAGCCAGUGCUCUCAACCACUGAGUCAUAUCUCCAGCCCUGGUUGAGAAUUUUUAAAAAAGUGAAUCGUAAUUACAAAACUCAGCUCCAGUUUGAAAAGUGGCUGUGGGUUCAAGUGCUGAGUUAAAUUUGAAGUCUAAAUAACCCUGACGGUUAUUCCACUCUGAGUUUCUGAGUUAUUAUUUUAGUCAUGACACAGUUUUCCCUAACCCCCCCCCCCAUCUUCCACUCACAGAGCUGGGGAACAAAGCCCAGGCAGUUCACAUGGACGUUUCUUACCCGGUCUUCUCCCAGGUGUGUCGGAAGAAGCACCCCACACUCCCCUCCGAGUGUAACGAUGGGUUGCGGGCCAGAGUGUGGCAGUUGCACUGUUGGGACAUGCAGAGGUGUCUUUGGGAUUUGCUCGUCCCCAGCCUUCCGCUCUGCCCUCCGCACCCCUCCCGUCCACGGACCUCGCCGGGGCCACUCUCCGAUGGUUCCUUGUUUCCGCAGCCCUUGCCUGUUCCUGCGCCGCCCGUCUGCUUAUUCCCGCUUUGGCAAGUGGGAAAGUGAGAGUGUUUGGCCCAGCUAGAGAUCACUGGAGGGCUUGGAGGGUUUCUUGGUUGUGACCUGAUUAAAAACAAUGUAGGCUGGGUGUGGCAGCUCACCCCGUCAGUCCCAGCAUGUCUCUCAGGAGGCCAGCCUGGUCUACAUAUCAAGUUCCAGGAAAGCCAAGGAGAUCUUGUCUCAAAACCAAACCAAACGAAACGAAAAUAGAAUGGCUGAGUAGGGCACUGCUGAGUAGGAAGGCUGAGAGUUUUAUUGUACUCCAUAUAGGACUCUAUAUACUUCUGCCUCUUAUAGAUGUGGCAAACACACAUAUAUACAUACACACAUAAACACCCACAAACAGACCAAAAGCAUGUAUAGUGCUGGAGGCCUGCUUUACCACUAAGCUGCAUCUGCUACUUGGUCUUUUAAAGCAUUGGUUUAUUUAGACUUUGUAUCUUUGAGAGCCAGUACUUCCUUAGGUUUUUGGUGGUACUAAGGAUUGAAUGAGGGCCUCAGCUUAUUCCAAGAGCUCUUCUGCUAGCCCCACCCCAGCCCCCGUCACUGGUGGAUGUAGUCAAGCUCCUAGAGCUCUUCACACCGCCUUGUUUAUUACCCCCCCACACACCUUUUUUGAGAUAGCAUCUCACUGGGUAGCCUUGGCUGGCCUGGAAUUCAGAGAUCCAGUGAAAUAAAUGCCUGGUCUUAGUCGUAGACUUGAUUUUUGCAUUGCCUAGGCUUUGGACAUGCUGAGCAAGGACUCUGUUACUGAGCUGCAUCCUGGCCCUGGUCUUAGAUUUCCUGACAUUUAAAAUUACAUUAUCUCAUUUACGUUUUUUUGACUAAGGAGGAUGGCAACAUAUGCCAUAUGAUCACAGAAAGGGGAGGGAAGCCAUGUAUAUAAAACACAUUAACUCCAUGCAUUUCUUUUUCUCCUCUUCAGGACAGGGUUUCUUUGUAGCCCUGGCUGUUCUGGAACUCUUGUAGACUAGACUGGCCUCGAACUCAGAGAUCUACCUGCCUCUGCCUCCCGAGUACUGGGACUAAAGGCGUGCACCACCAUGCCCAGCUGUUUGUUUGAAUGUUUUCUUUGGGAAGAAUUUGCAUAGAUCUGGGCAAAUCUCUUCCUAGCAUAGAAGCACCAUGUAGGAAUUGUUGGCUCCUUUGUGAAGAAGCAGCCCCAGGCUGCAUUUUCCAGUGUUGAUCUGGGUUCUCACACAUGCUGAGCCAGGCAGAGGCUCCCCUGAAUGUCAACCCUGACUCUGAGCCCCAGAUUCGCCAGUGCAAUCUUCCCUGGUUUCCACAUUUUCUCACUUGACAGUUUAUUUGUGGAAUAUUCAUACAAGUACAUAAAAUUAGCUUAGAUUCCGCCACCCAUUUAACAAAUCAUAUUCAUAGAAGAAAGUUGUCAAGGCGCUUGCCAGGCAAGCGUACGGACUGGGGCUUGCUCUUCAGCACCCAUUUAGGACAGCCAGCUGCAGCAGAGACCGUCUGUGAGCCUACUGCUGGGGAGGUGAGGACAGCAGCAGUCCCACUCCAGCUGAGCCCUGAAUUCCAGGUCCAGUGAAAGACUCUCAGAAACAGGUGGAGCGCUAGAGGAAGAUCUCUGCUUCUCCACGAUGACAGACAUCCGUCACAUACUCAGAAGGAUGCAGUGGCACUAAGAUGGGACCUGCUGGGCGGAGUGAUGCAUUCCUUUCAUCUAAUCCCAGUACUUCUGAAACUGAAUUUGAGGCCAGCUUGGUCUACAUGGCGACUUCCAGGCCAGCCCUGACUAUCCAGUAAGACUUUGUCUUAGUUCCCUUGCCACACUCAGCCCAUUCGAAGGGGGGUUGGGAGGGUUCUGGGUUUCAGCAGCCUAGCCCAGCCAGGGCUGCAGUCCCUGUAGUUCUGGCUUGGGCACCAUGCGUUUCCCGGCAGUUCUUGCACAUUUUUAUUUUGAAGACAGGUUCUCACUGUAGUCUGGGCUCAGAUUCACCAGCUGCUUUAGCACCCCAGGUGCCUUCCGACUUCUGGCUUCGGAGUUCUGUAGGUACCCCCACCUCCUUUUAUUUUCCGAGACAGGAUCUCAUGCAGUCCAGUGGAUGGAACUUCAUACAUAGUUGAGGGAUUUCUGAUCCUUUCUCUCUCAAGAGCUGUAUUCUAGGCAUGUACUACCACUCUCAGUUCAUGGGACUCAGGGGAUCAAGCCCAGGGCCUCUCUUAAAGCUUUCUUGACUGACCUACAUCUCCAACCCUUGACUCUUUGAAAACCGUAGGAGUCAUUUUACAGGGUCUGUGUCAACUUGGAUCUGUCCAUUUCUUUCUUCCUCAUGGUUUCCCGGGUGAAGUGUUGAGGGCUGGGCUUAGUGAUGUGUUUUCUUGGAGUUCUGUUGGGAGGUGUCUCCAUGUCUGGAGUCAGUGUUGUCUUUCUCCCUUGGUUAAGAUGGAGGCUCCUCUGUUUCACUUGGUGAAGAGAUGGCACUUGGGGACAAGGACAUGGUUGUCCAAGCCCGUAGUCUAACCCCCUCUGCUUUUCCUUCUAGGGUGUUGGGGAUGGGCUUCAGCACUGACCGAAGUGCUGUGUCACGGAGCCACACCAUAUCCCUACCGCUGUUCUUAGGUUACAGCGGAAAGUGUGUUUGCCAAUUGUAUCAAGCGAACGUCAGCCUUUUAUAAUAAACAUCAAGAUUCCAAGAUAAACCAAUAGCAUCAAUAAACUACCUUAAACGUA